GUGGGGAAUCUUCCGCAAUGGGCGAAAGCCUGACGGAGCAACGCCGCGUGAGUGAUGACGGCCUUCGGGUUGUAAAGCUCUGUUAUAUGGGACGAACGGGCAUGGGGCCAAUACCCUCAUGCAGUGACGGUACCGUAAGAGAAAGCCACGGCUAACUACGUGCCAGCAGCCGCGGUAAUACGUAGGUGGCAAGCGUUGUCCGGAAUUAUUGGGCGUAAAGGGCGUGUAGGCGGCCAGACAAGUCUGUCUUAAAAGUGCGGGGCUCAACCCCGUGAUGGGAUGGAAACUGUCGGGCUAGAGUGUCGGAGAGGAAAGCGGAAUUCCUAGUGUAGCGGUGAAAUGCGUAGAUAUUAGGAGGAACACCAGUGGCGAAAGCGGCUUUCUGGACGACAACUGACGCUGAGGCGCGAAAGCCAGGGGAGCAAACGGGAUUAGAAACCCCUGUAGUCC
This 450-nucleotide ribosomal RNA is filed under the name uncultured bacterium. Its description in RNAcentral is "partial 16S ribosomal RNA". It matches the Rfam family "Bacterial small subunit ribosomal RNA", at positions 354 to 796 of the family's 1533-position model. The record is from RNAcentral.